RNAcentral lists this ribosomal RNA (319 nucleotides) under uncultured eukaryote. RNAcentral describes it as "partial 18S ribosomal RNA". It matches the Rfam family "Eukaryotic small subunit ribosomal RNA", at positions 1470 to 1796 of the family's 1831-position model. The record is from RNAcentral.
CCCUUAGAUGUUCUGGGCAGCACGCGCGCUACAAUGGUCUUCGCAAACGGAUGCAUUCUCGAAGGAGAAUGCCAAUCUUGGAAUCGAUGCCUUGGUCGGGACAGUUGCUUGCAAUUUUUCGACUCGAACCAGGAAUUCCUUGUAAUCGUGAUUCAUCACAUCACGAUGAAUACGUCCCUGCCCUUUGUACACACCGCCCGUCGCUCCUACCGAUCGAAGAGUUAGGUGAAUUGUUUUGAUCGAUAAGAUUUGACUAUGGUCAACUCUCGUUGUGAAAUUCUGUGAAUCUGACUGUUUAGAGGAAGGAAAAGUCGUAACA